AUUGAACGCUGGCGGCAUGCUUUACACAUGCAAGUCGAACGGUAACAGGUUAAGCUGACGAGUGGCGAACGGGUGAGUAAUGCAUCGGAACGUGCCCGGUCGUGGGGGAUAACGCAGCGAAAGCUGCGCUAAUACCGCAUACGAUCUGAGGAUGAAAGCGGGGGACCGUAAGGCCUCGCGCGAUCGGAGCGGCCGAUGUCAGAUUAGGUAGUUGGUGAGGUAAAGGCUCACCAAGCCAACGAUCUGUAGCUGGUCUGAGAGGACGACCAGCCACACCGGGACUGAGACACGGCCCAGACUCGUACGGGAGGCAGCAGUGGGGAAUUUUGGACAAUGGGCGAAAGCCUGAUCCAGCAAUGCCGCGUGCAGGAAGAAGGCCUUCGGGUUGUAAACUGCUUUUGUACGGAGCGAAAAGGCUCUCUCUAAUACAGGGGGCUCAUGACGGUACCGUAAGAAUAAGCACCGGCUAACUACGUGCCAGCCGCCGCAGUAA
RNAcentral lists this ribosomal RNA (493 nucleotides) under uncultured bacterium. RNAcentral describes it as "partial 16S ribosomal RNA". It matches the Rfam family "Bacterial small subunit ribosomal RNA", at positions 29 to 523 of the family's 1533-position model. The record is from RNAcentral.